RNAcentral lists this long non-coding RNA (1154 nucleotides) under Phoenix dactylifera (date palm). RNAcentral's name for it is "long non-coding RNA (PDAC_LNC015666)". The record is from RNAcentral. Lineage: Eukaryota; Viridiplantae; Streptophyta; Magnoliopsida; Arecales; Arecaceae.
GGAAUAUUUUUCUGAGUAUAAGGCCGUUAGGUAUGAAGCGAGUUUACUAUAAUUGGAAUCUGUGGUGAAUUCAUGAUAGAAUAGGGAAGUUGAAUUUGGUAUAUCUAAGGAUGACAAAAGUCAAAUCCAUGAUAAGAAGAGGGUAAAUUGAUGAUUGGGAUGAAUACAUUAAGUGAAUGUUACGAGUGGUAGUGAUGAGGGGAAAAAUAUUUUGGAAUUUAGAUAAUGUGGACUUGUGUAGAUUCUUGCGUUGCCACAGCAAGUAGGAUGAUUGAAUACAUUUUGAAGGUUUGUGCAAGUGGGAAUUUAGAGGAGAUUAAAUAUAGCACAAUUUGGAUGAUGCAUGAAUAUUGAUUAUUUUUUCGCUUCAGAAUUUAAGAAAGAGACAAGAGAAUGCUAUAGAUCUCUCCUUCAAGUGUUAUGACUUCGGUAGAGAAGUUAAAAAUCUUGAUAGUUUGUAGUCCUGUUUGAGCCAAGUAGCCUACCUGGCUUGCUUGAGCCUGAAGCUUUUUAUGUAGGCUCGGGCCAAAGAUUUUGGCCCAACGAGUUGGGCCGAGCUUCAAAAAUAGUUCUAUUUAACAACUGAGCCUAGCUUAGGCUAGGGGAUUAAAGCUCAGUCAGAGCUCGGUCCAGCUCGAUUUUUUUUUUGUUUUUCUUUUGUUAUUUUCUUAUGUUUGAUGUAUUUGUAGACUUAAUUGACAAUUGUUGUUGAUAUAUGAAUUUAAUGGGAUAAUAAACAUGUUGUAUGUAGUUAGCAAUAUUUAAUUAUUUACAUUUGCAUUUUAAAAUAUUUUAAGCAUUUUUAUUAUUUAAAAAAAAUAAAAUUAGCUAUGACUCGGCCCAAAGCUCGAAAGGCUGAGCAUAGGCCUAGAAGGUAGGCUCAAAGGCCAGGCUAGGCAGGGCAUGCCGGAGUUUUUUUCUUUUCAACCUUUGGGUAAAGCCUGGUCUGAGCCCAACCAAGCUGAGCCUAUGAACAAGUCUAGUGGUUGGUUUUGAUCAACCUUUUUUUUUGGUAUAGAAUGUUUUUUUUAUAAGAUCAUUGGACAUGAAGUUCGUUUACAAAAAUGGAAGCUGUGGUGAAGUUAUGGUAUAAUAGGGGAGUUAAGUUUGGAAUUAGUAUAUGAAAGGAUUAUUAGGAGUGCAUCAAUGACAAA